AGAGUUUGAUCCUGGCUCAGAUUGAACGCUGGCGGCGUGCCUAACACAUGCAAGUCGAGCGGUAACAGGUGUAGCAAUACAUGCUGACGAGCGGCGGACGGGUGAGUAACGCUUGGGAAUCUGCCUGUUAGUGGGGGACAACCCGGGGAAACUCGGGCUAAUACCGCAUACGCACUACGGUGGAAAGCCGGGGACCGCAAGGCCUGGCGCUAACAGAUGAGCCCAAGUCGGAUUAGCUAGUUGGUGGGGUAAUGGCCCACCAAGGCGACGAUCCGUAACUGGUCUGAGAGGACGACCAGUCACACCGGAACUGAGAGACGGUCCGGACUCCUACGGGAGGCAGCAGUGGGGAAUAUUGGACAAUGGGGGAAACCCUGAUCCAGCGACGCCGCGUGGGUGAAGAAGGCCUGCGGGUUGUAAAGCCCUUUCGGUUGGGAAGAAAAGUUGCGACCUAACACGUCGCGACCUUGACGUAACCAACUAAAGAAGCACCGGCUAACUCUGUGCCAGCAGCCGCGGUAAUACAGAGGGUGCGAGCGUUAAUCGGAAUUACUGGGCGUAAAGCGCGCGUAGGCGGCUUGGCAAGUCGGGUGUGAAAUCCCCGGGCUCAACCUGGGAACUGCA
RNAcentral lists this ribosomal RNA (624 nucleotides) under uncultured bacterium. RNAcentral describes it as "bacterial SSU rRNA". It matches the Rfam family "Bacterial small subunit ribosomal RNA", at positions 8 to 625 of the family's 1533-position model. The record is from RNAcentral.